This 266-nucleotide long non-coding RNA is filed under the name Homo sapiens (human). RNAcentral describes it as "HSALNT0244391". Lineage: Eukaryota; Metazoa; Chordata; Mammalia; Primates; Hominidae. The record is from RNAcentral.
CCCAAGAAAACUUCAAAUGGUAGGAGAAGGUAUCAGUAAAGAUGACUCUCACUGCGUCUAUUGAAUAGUUCAAAUCCAAUUCAUCCAUGCUUUUUUCAUCAGGCCACCCCAUGAUUGUUCUUCCUGCCAUGUGAAGAAAAACCUAAGCCUUCCAGACACCAUGAUGGCCACACGGUCACACAAGGCUUCCGCCUCAGCCAGGUUAUGGGUGGUCAGGAGGACACCUCUCUCUGUGUUUUUAACGACUGCCUGGAUUGCCUGCCUGC